This is a small nuclear RNA of Cebus imitator (Panamanian white-faced capuchin), 107 nucleotides long. Lineage: Eukaryota; Metazoa; Chordata; Mammalia; Primates; Cebidae. The record is from Ensembl.
GUUCUUACUUGGGCAGCACAUAUGCUAAAAUUGGAAUGUUACAGACAAGAUUAGCCUGGCCCCUGUGUAAGGAUAACACAUAAAUACCUGAAGCAUUCCGUAUUUUU